ACGACGCUGGCGGCGUGGAUUAGGCAUGACAAGUCGAACGGUAUCAUCCUUUCGGGGGUGAGAGAGUGGCGAACUGGUGAGUAACACGUAGGUUAUCUACCCUCAAGACGGGGACAACCCAGGGAAACUUGGGCUAAUACCGGAUGUGAGCAACUUUUAGUUGUUUGAAAGGUGGCGUAAGCUGUCGCUUGGGGAUGAGCCUGCGUCCUAUUAGUUAGUUGGUGAGGUAACGGCUCACCUAGGCAAUGAUAGGUAGGCGGCCUUAACGGGUGGUCGCCCACACUGGGAUUGAGAUACGGCCCAGACUCCUACGGGAGGCAGCAGUCGAGAAUAGUCUACAAUGGUCGGAAGACUGAUAGUGCGACGCCGCGUGAACGAUGAAUCCCUUCGGGGUGUAAAGUUCUUUUAUAUGUGAGCAGUGCUUCUUAUAUUAACAGUAUGGGGAGAGAGAUAUUAGCAUAUGAAUAAGCAACGGCUAACUCCGUG
RNAcentral lists this ribosomal RNA (486 nucleotides) under uncultured bacterium. Its description in RNAcentral is "bacterial SSU rRNA". It matches the Rfam family "Bacterial small subunit ribosomal RNA", at positions 33 to 507 of the family's 1533-position model. The record is from RNAcentral.